Molecule: RNA transcript, 1271 nt
Organism: Apus apus (common swift)
Lineage: Eukaryota; Metazoa; Chordata; Aves; Apodiformes; Apodidae
Gene: HSBP1L1
Gene name: heat shock factor binding protein 1 like 1
Exons: 3
Source: RefSeq, a predicted model, not a curated record
GCGGGGCCGCGCACGGCCCUCCGGAGCCGGAGCGGAUGGCUGCCGCCGGGGCGCUGGGCGCCGGGGACCUCCCGCAGCUGGAGAAUUUCGAAGCGCUGAGUGAAAAGAUCACGCUGAGAAAUAUCCUCUUUGGAAGUCAGGUUCCUGGCUUCCCGCUCCUUCGGCUUUCCACGCUGGAGCGGGCUCGAUGUAGCUUUGAUGGCCAGGCGGCUGUGCAGCGGGGCUUUGCCUCUGAAUAUCGGGAUGUGCUUUUUCCUAAACAUCAAAUUAAGCUCCAGUGAUUGACCUUGUUAAACACCUGUGAUGUAAAUUCACUUGAAUGGCCCCCCAAGCCCGUUUAGUUUUCACCUUGCUAAGAAGAAAAUCCUAACAAAGGUCUGACUAAGAGUAGUAUCAACUCCCAAGGAGUUAGUCUCUGUGCAGCAAUUCGUGUUUUCAAGUAAAAUAGGCAGCAAAUCGUGUUGAGAUUCUGAAGGUAUAUUCAAAAGCAAUCAUCUACAAAAAUGCCUCUUUAAGUCAGCAGCAUAUCCCUGCACGUUGUUGGUUUAAAAACAACUGUUAGCUGCUAAGAGCGGGGAGGUGAGCACUCAAAAAGACAAAUUAAGACCUGAAGAGGCUCCGAGCUUCCUCAGUGUACUCUCAGAAACUACCUCUCGUUUAUGAAACUGAAUUGAUUACAUUUUCAAUUUUUUCUGUAACUUGACCUUUCAGGAAGCAGCUGCUUUAAUGAUUUAGCAGCACUCAUGUUCUGAUUGCCUAUGCUGACCGUAUGGGAUCACCUAAAACAGCUCCUUGGAAAGAACCUCUCAUAGAGAACGUACUCCAGUUCACUCAUGAGCACGCAGGACAUCUGUAGGUGUUUAGAACUUGAAUACUUAGCUGUUGCAAAAGAAAAUGGGAUUGUCUUGUAAUGACACAACCUUGUGCGUGCUUCAUCUUGCAUUAGUAUUGAAUAUGAGUAAAAGGCUUGAGACAUCUGCAAGAAAGCUGCUUGUUAUUUCUCACAGAAGAAAAAAAGAAUUCUUAUUCAUAAAUAGUUUAUCUUUAACUUUUUACUGGAAGAAAUGGGCGAGCGCAUUGAGGAUCUUGAGAAGCAUGUUGCUGACCUGAUGACAGAGGCUGGGAUAGAAAACACCAAUGAAGAGUUGAAACACUGAAAUGAGGAUGUGAUCAAAAUAAAGGAAGAACAGAACCACACUGCAUCUGGCAGUUUACAAUUAGUGUCACAAGUCACAAAAAGCAUCAGUGAAAACAAAUGUGCUUGCAUCCUA